GGAGAGGUGGCCGAGCGGUUGAAGGCGCAGUCCUGGAAAGACUGUAUACCCGAGAGGGUAUCGAGGGUUCGAAUCCCUCCCUCUCCG
Molecule: transfer RNA, 87 nt
Filed under: Elusimicrobiota bacterium
Lineage: Bacteria; Pseudomonadati; Elusimicrobiota
Description: tRNA-Ser
Rfam family: tRNA
About the family: Transfer RNA (tRNA) molecules are approximately 80 nucleotides in length. Their secondary structure includes four short double-helical elements and three loops (D, anti-codon, and T loops). Further hydrogen bonds mediate the characteristic L-shaped molecular structure. tRNAs have two regions of fundamental functional importance: the anti-codon, which is responsible for specific mRNA codon recognition, and the 3' end, to which the tRNAs corresponding amino acid is attached (by aminoacyl-tRNA synthetases). tRNAs cope with the degeneracy of the genetic code in two manners: having more than one tRNA (with a specific anti-codon) for a particular amino acid; and 'wobble' base-pairing, i.e. permitting non-standard base-pairing at the 3rd anti-codon position.
Source: RNAcentral